CUAUACAUGCAAGUCGAACGAACUCUGGUAUUGAUUGGUGCUUGCAUCAUGAUUUACAUUUGAGUGAGUGGCGAACUGGUGAGUAACACGUGGGAAACCUGCCCAGAAGCGGGGGAUAACACCUGGAAACAGAUGCUAAUACCGCAUAACAACUUGGACCGCAUGGUCCGAGCUUGAAAGAUGGCUUCGGCUAUCACUUUUGGAUGGUCCCGCGGCGUAUUAGCUAGAUGGUGGGGUAACGGCUCACCAUGGCAAUGAUACGUAGCCGACCUGAGAGGGUAAUCGGCCACAUUGGGACUGAGACACGGCCCAAACUCCUACGGGAGGCAGCAGUAGGGAAUCUUCCACAAUGGACGAAAGUCUGAUGGAGCAACGCCGCGUGAGUGAAGAAGGGUUUCGGCUCGUAAAACUCUGUUGUUAAAGAAGAACAUAUCUGAGAGUAACUGUUCAGGUAUUGACGGUAUUUAACCAGAAAGCCACGGCUAACUACGUGCCAGCAGCCGCGGUAAUACGUAGGUGGCAAGCGUUGUCCGGAUUUAUUGGGCGUAAAGCGAGCGCAGGCGGUUUUUUAAGUCUGAUGUGAAAGCCUUCGGCUCAACCGAAGAAGUGCAUCGGAAACUGGGAAACUUGAGUGCAGAAGAGGACAGUGGAACUCCAUGUGUAGCGGUGAAAUGCGUAGAUAUAUGGAAGAACACCAGUGGCGAAGGCGGCUGUCUGGUCUGUAACUGACGCUGAGGCUCGAAAGUAUGGGUAGCAAACAGGAUUAGAUACCCUGGUAGUCCAUACCGUAAACGAUGAAUGCUAAGUGUUGGAGGGUUUCCGCCCUUCAGUGCUGCAGCUAACGCAUUAAGCAUUCCGCCUGGGGAGUACGGCCGCAAGGCUGAAACUCAAAGGAAUUGACGGGGGCCCGCACAAGCGGUGGAGCAUGUGGUUUAAUUCGAAGCUACGCGAAGAACCUUACCAGGUCUUGACAUACUAUGCAAAUCUAAGAGAUUAGACGUUCCCUUCGGGGACAUGGAUACAGGUGGUGCAUGGUUGUCGUCAGCUCGUGUCGUGAGAUGUUGGGUUAAGUCCCGCAACGAGCGCAACCCUUAUUAUCAGUUGCCAGCAUUAAGUUGGGCACUCUGGUGAGACUGCCGGUGACAAACCGGAGGAAGGUGGGGAUGACGUCAAAUCAUCAUGCCCCUUAUGACCUGGGCUACACACGUGCUACAAUGGAUGGUACAACGAGUUGCGAACUCGCGAGAGUAAGCUAAUCUCUUAAAGCCAUUCUCAGUUCGGAUUGUAGGCUGCAACUCGCCUACAUGAAGUCGGAAUCGCUAGUAAUCGCGGAUCAGCAUGCCGCGGUGAAUACGUUCCCGGGCCUUGUACACACCGCCCGUCACACCAUGAGAGUUUGUAACACCCAAAGUCGGUGGGGUAACCUUUUAGGAACCAGCCGCCUAAGG
This 1448-nucleotide ribosomal RNA is filed under the name Lactiplantibacillus plantarum. RNAcentral's name for it is "bacterial SSU rRNA". It matches the Rfam family "Bacterial small subunit ribosomal RNA". Lineage: Bacteria; Bacillati; Bacillota; Bacilli; Lactobacillales; Lactobacillaceae. The record is from RNAcentral.